RNAcentral lists this non-coding RNA (29 nucleotides) under Mus musculus (house mouse). Lineage: Eukaryota; Metazoa; Chordata; Mammalia; Rodentia; Muridae. The record is from RNAcentral.
UNCUAAGAAGUCCAGGUUCAACUCAGUGU